RNAcentral lists this unclassified non-coding RNA (200 nucleotides) under soil metagenome. RNAcentral's name for it is "partial contains internal transcribed spacer 2 and large subunit ribosomal RNA". The record is from RNAcentral.
UGCUAAAUUGAUUACUUGACUGGUAGUGAAUGUUUGACACUGCUUGUAUUCGAAAAGCUAUGAAUGAAGCGCAAGUUUCUUAUUGGCCCAGUAUAUACAGCAGCUAGUUUGCAAUCAGGUAGAGUUCAACCUUAAGACGCUAGCUUGCUAGUGAUCUGAACCAAGGUCUCAAAUCAGGUAGGAAGACCCGCUGAACUUAA